This is a long non-coding RNA of Zalophus californianus (California sea lion), 1818 nucleotides long. RefSeq lists it as uncharacterized. NCBI's taxonomy places the organism in Eukaryota, Metazoa, Chordata, Mammalia, Carnivora, Otariidae. The record is from RefSeq and is a predicted model, not a curated record. The transcript has 4 exons.
CUGCAGUAGCUCCCCGCCCGGCUCCGCGCGGGGAGCUGUCCCUCAUGCCCCCUGUCAGGCGGGACCCCGCCGGCCCCCUGGGCUCGCGACCCCAGCUCUGAAGCCACGCCUGCCCUCCCACGCGUUCCUGCGAGCGGGAAGGCGGGAGCGAGCCGCGCGCCGAGGUCGGGCCCGGGGCUUCCCCGCUGUUGCCUCGGAGACUUCCGCGGGGCCAGUCCCGCCGCCGAGUGCGGUGGCCCGGUCCCGGGCGGGUGCCCGCGCCCCCACCCCCCACCCCCCUACACCAGGCCCCGGCCCUCUCCCGCGAGCGGAGGGAAGGCUCCCGAGCGCCUCCGAGGCCGCGGGAUGCCGGGCACAGGCCCAGCGGCCGGUGGAAGCGGAGCCGAGCAGGAGAAAGAGAGGGGAGGAGGAGCGAGUAGCUCGCGGCCGAGGGAACAGCAGAUUGCGCCCAGCCAAUGGCAAGGGCUGGGGAAUCUCCUGUCUGGGCCUCUGUCUCGUGAUCUUUGUCCCCAGGUCUCACCUGGCAAGCAGUCAGUGAACUCUUUGGCCCUGGCCCUGGUCCGAAGAACUUUUUCCCCAGGAGUCACCCAGCUUGUCAGUCGCCUGGUCAUGCACUCUGCCCAGAGACAUUACCUGUUCCUGGCCACGCUACGUGAUCUGCAGACAUACCCUCGGGACAGAAUAACCUGUUAGAAGACCCUUCCCUGGGCCCCCAGUUCAUGACCUGAGCAAAGACAGAUGCUGAACCAACUGAGCCAUCCAGGCGCCCCUCCAGUUUCACCCUAAAUGACCCCAUGGGAUUUAGCACCACCAUCUCCUCCAGAAAGUCUUCCCUGCUUCUCCCAACCUGGUCUGCUGUGGACCUCUUCUCACUGUGUGCUAAGCUCCAUCAUCCAGUCAUAAGGAUCUCCUCCUCUAUGGUGAUUGCCCAAGGUCAGGAGCUCCUUAUGACCUCAGCACUUAGCACCAUGCCUACGACCAUGUGAUGUUCCAUAAACGUUCAAUGAAGGGAGCCCGGAAGGGCAAAAGGAAGGGAACGUCAAGUGGGCUGUCCAAGUUGCAUGAAGAUCUGUGAGCAUUCCUCCGCUCAGCCCCCCACCCCCAUUUGACAUCUGGCUGGGGACGCUCACAGACCCACAAGAGACACAGCAAGAGAGGGAACACAAGCCGGGGAAAAGGGAGAGGGAGAAGCAGGCUUCCCGCGGAGCAGGGAGCCCAUGCGGGGCUUGAUCCCAGGACCCUGGGAUCAUGACCUGAGCCGAAGGCAGACGCUUAACGACUGAGCCACCCAGGAGCCCAUGAGUUGUUUGUCUUCUUAUGUGCUGUGAUAUAUGUCCCCAUUCUCUGGCUUAUCUAUUUGUUUUCUUAAUAUUUUUUUUGAUACCAGAAAAUUUUAACUUUCAUGAAGUCUAAUUUAUCCAUUUUUUCCCCUAUGAUUAUUGCUCUCUGUGUUCUGUCCAAAAAAUCUUUUUUACCAGAGGGUCACAGAGAUAGUGCCUUGUGGCCUUAUAUACAAACUUUAUGGCUGUGAGUUUUGCAUUUAGCACUGUGAUCAAAUUAAUUUUUGUGUAAAGUGAGUUGAGGUUGAGGUUCAUUUAUUCUGUAUGGAUAUACAGUUGUUGCAGCAAUAUUUGUUAAAGAGACUUUCCCUCCCAUGUUCUAUUGACCUGGGAACUUGGUUAAAAAAAAUAAAUAAAUAAACAGUUAACCAUAUAUGUAUAUUUCUGAAAUUUCUAGUUCAUUUCAUCGACCUACUUGUCUCUACCACACUCUCUUUACUACUGUAGCUUUAUAGUCAGUCCUGAAAUAAAAUAGUUU